RNAcentral lists this ribosomal RNA (442 nucleotides) under uncultured Eubacteriales bacterium. RNAcentral's name for it is "bacterial SSU rRNA". It matches the Rfam family "Bacterial small subunit ribosomal RNA", at positions 338 to 797 of the family's 1533-position model. Lineage: Bacteria; Bacillati; Bacillota; Clostridia; Eubacteriales. The record is from RNAcentral.
CCUACGGGAGGCUGCAGUGGGGAAUAUUGCACAAUGGGGGGAACCCUGAUGCAGCAAUGCCGCGUGGGUGAAGAAGCACUCCGGUGCGUAAAGCCCUGUCAGCAGGGAAGAAAAUGACAGUACCUGACCAAGAAGCCCCGGCUAACUACGUGCCAGCAGCCGCGGUAAUACGUAGGGGGCAAGCGUUAUCCGGAUUUACUGGGUGUAAAGGGAGCGCAGGCGGUAUGGCAAGUCAGAUGUGAAAACCCAGGGCCCAACCCUGGGACUGCAUUUGAAACUGCCAUACUGGAGUGCCGGAGAGGUAAGUGGAAUUCCUAGUGUAGCGGUGAAAUGCGUAGAUAUUAGGAGGAACACCAGUGGCGAAGGCGGCUUACUGGACGGUAACUGACGCUGAGGCUCGAAAGCGUGGGGAGCAAACAGGAUUAGAUACCCCUGUAGUCCA